RNAcentral lists this transfer RNA (86 nucleotides) under Candidatus Kaiserbacteria bacterium RIFCSPHIGHO2_01_FULL_56_24. RNAcentral describes it as "tRNA-Leu". It matches the Rfam family "tRNA". From Rfam's summary of the family: Transfer RNA (tRNA) molecules are approximately 80 nucleotides in length. Their secondary structure includes four short double-helical elements and three loops (D, anti-codon, and T loops). Further hydrogen bonds mediate the characteristic L-shaped molecular structure. tRNAs have two regions of fundamental functional importance: the anti-codon, which is responsible for specific mRNA codon recognition, and the 3' end, to which the tRNAs corresponding amino acid is attached (by aminoacyl-tRNA synthetases). tRNAs cope with the degeneracy of the genetic code in two manners: having more than one tRNA (with a specific anti-codon) for a particular amino acid; and 'wobble' base-pairing, i.e. permitting non-standard base-pairing at the 3rd anti-codon position. Lineage: Bacteria; Candidatus Kaiseribacteriota. The record is from RNAcentral.
GCCGGGGUGGCGGAAUGGUUUACGCAGAAGACUUAAAAUCUUUCCCUCGCAAGAGGUUGUGGGUUCGAGUCCCACCCCCGGCACAA